GUCGUGCAUCCUAAGAGCAGUGUUGUGCUUGCAGCUGGGAGAGGGACACAGUCUUUAGUUUGGCUGAUUAAUACUCCAGGUAAUGGGCACCUCUAAGCUUGGACAUGGGACUUUUACCUGUUAUCUAGUUAUCUAGUGCUUUCUCUUCUUUCUGUAAUUUUCUUUUCUCCCUGCCAAAAUCCAGGUUUCUCUGAGGGUUUAAUUUAUGAUGAGGUAUUUUUUUUGUGCAAGGAACCAAGGACCUGCUACCGCACAAUUGCAGCCAUUGUGCAUUACAUUCUCUGAAUUCUUGCUGUGAAGUCUGCAGGCAGCCAAGCUCGAUGACCAGCUUGUUUUUAGAGGAAUUCCUGCAUCCAAGCACAAUAGGAGAAAAGGACCAGAUUCUCAGCAGCUCUAAUUCCAGCACAGCCCCUGUAAUGUUACCAGGGGUGUAGUAAAGCUGGAUUAAUGUUGUGUUAGGCAUAGGAACACACACAUGCACAAGCACGAUCCUUGAAACAGGUUAUAAUGCAUUUGACCGUCACUGGAAGAAAACAAUACAGGUUCUCCCAUAGAAGAUAUAUUUCAAAGUAUUAAAAAGCUUAACCCUCAGAUUCAAAUAUUCAUUAAGCUCACGUGCAAUUCAGUGUUCAGAGACCUGUCUCUCAGGGACAGAGGAAUACAGAGACACUAUCUCCUCAGCUGUGUAUUAUUACUAUCUGGGCAUUUUCAUUUGGCAGAAUGGAAAGGUAGUAAAAGGAAAUGUUAAAGAGUUCUGGUUAUUUCUUUUUAAAAUUUAUUUCUUUCCUCUAUUUCCUCCAAGGCUCAGACACCUGGGCUAAGCAGUACUAACAAAUCCUCACCCUUCUAGAAGAUUCUUAUAACUGUGAUUCCUGUGCUCCUCCUGAGCCUCAGCCUCUCUCCUUCAGCAGGACUGCUCAAAUGCUGUUUGCCAGGUGUUUUGAGGGAGAGGAAAGACCCAGACAGGAAAUCUCUACUUGAUUUCUGGAUGAAUGGUUCUGCAGAGCAGAGAUUUUUGGAAGACAGAGCAACAGACCCGUCAUCACUUGGUUGAAAUGAGGGAAGUGUGGAAAAGCACUGUCAGGUACAGGACAGGGUGUGCUGGGGGAAAUAGAUUCCAUCCUAAGCUGCACAGGUCAAGGAUGCCUCUGUCUCCCUGCCUUUGCCUUUUGCACUUCAGUGCACAGCACAGUUUAAUUUGCAGGGGCUGGUAUGUGCUAAACAUCUCUAACAACUGUGCAUUUUGUGUGGUGAUGUAGUUGGAUGUUUUUGGAAGUGCUUCUGCAUGUACUUGGUGUUUCAACCCUGCUGUGCUGUGUGAAGAUGCACAUUUUGGGAUUUGUGUCUGCCUGAACUGUCCAUGCAAAAAGCUACCCCUGAAGGUGGAUGUGAGGAUGCAGUUCCAUGAGACUUUAAGCUCUUGAAUGCACAGAGGUUACUGAGUGCACUCAGGAGCUGCUGAAUGAGAAGUCAGAGAUACCCAAACUCAUUACCAGGCAGAACAUGGUGGGAGAAACCUUUCCUUCCGACAGAGCCAUCCCAUGUCUUAUCCCACCACUGGGAUGUGUGAAUUCCAGCUGUGGCAACAGCUGUAGGAGUUUGUAAAAGACCACCUGAGGACUCUAAAAUCAACUGCAAUCAAGGGCUUGUUUUCUUUUGAGCUACUUCCAUCUCCCAAAUUAAAAUCAAUGCAGAGGAAGAGGGAGUGAGGGAACAGCGCUCAGCAAACAGGUUUCCCCCUCAGAGAGGUGAUUUUCUGCAACCCUGGCAAAUGGGAUCUGCAGAAAACCUAAAUCAUUCUGCAGUGUUGGGCAAUAUGUCUGUCAUUACAGACUGGCGAUAUCUGGCAUGGACAGAGCACAGAGCAACUCCCCAUUAGCUGGACAUUUUUAGGAAUUCUUAUUCCGAGAAGUUUUGAAGUUUUGAGUUUUUCAGCUUGUAGGAAGGCCCCGUUGUUGCAUGACUGCCCUUCUGGAACAGAGAGCUCUUCCUGGUAUUUUUUGGUGCCUGCUGGGAUGCUGGCUGGCUCCCUGUGCCAGCAGCCUAGGUGCUGGGGAGAGAUGCAUACUCUCUCCCUGUAUCUGAUGAUUUCAGGCUCCUGAAUCAGUGUAGGUCUGGGAAGAAGAGGUGUCACAUCACAGAAGGGCUGAAAAAAAGGACAAUCUUUAUUUUAAGUUCACAGCAAUGUUGAAUGGAACAGGGAGUAGGGCCCAGACUCUGCUGCAAAGCAGCUCUGGUUGCAUGAGAGUAGAGUCCAACAGGGAAGCCUCUCCAUCAGGCUUUAACCCACUGUGCUUUGUGUGGCCUGUGAGUGCCAUGCAGUGCUGCAGCCACUUCUCCCCAUCACUGUUUGGAAGCACAGCACUGGGUUUUCCAGGGCUGCACUUCCCUGGUGUCAUCCCAUCCUGUUGUAGUCUCCCUCUGUGCUGCUCUUCCCAUCAGCUCUUGACCCCUGUGAGGAGGUGAUUAGGUCUCAAAGAAGAUCAGAUGAUGGAAACCAAUUUUAGAGUGGAGAACAAGAAAAAAAAUCAUUAUGGGAAGGGCUGCCAAACACUGACAGGCUGCCCAAGGCAGUGAUGGAGCCCCCAUUCCUGGAAGAUUUAAACGCUGUGUGGAUGUGGCAGUUGGGGACAUGGGUUAAUGGCAAGUUUAGCAGUGCUGGGAGAAUGGUUGGACUUGAGGAUCUUAUAGGGCUUCUACAGUCUAAAGGAUUCUGUGCUUCUGUGAAUCAGGAGAGAAACUCCAGCAACGAGGAUGCUCCAGUGCAGGUGUCAGCGUGGCUCUGACGUCUGCUACAAAUGUCCGCUGGGAAAGCAAAUCCCUUCCCUCCACAUUCCCUCCGUGCAGCUUUGCUAAUUAUUCAUGAGGAGUCAUUACCAGGUAGCUCAUCCUGGAGCCACCAAUACCCAAGCUAAGACAUCUAAAGGGCUUGCCCCAGUUUUUCUGUAUGAGGCACCUAUGUCUAUGGGAGAAGAGUUGAGAACCUCCUCUCAAAGAGCAAAGUUGCCUUUUUAUUUUUCUUUUAGGGGGUAUGGAGCAAAUGUAAGAGUAAUAAAAAUAAUAUUUGAAGCAAUAAAUGGAACUGCAUAGUGUGUAUACUAUUUUUUACUUUGAGUUGCACUUAUAACAGAAUUGUUUUAAUUCACUGUCUCUCUUGCAAUUCCUUCACUUUGCUAAUUCUUUUCUGCUUUUUAAUUUUUUAAACCAAAUUUUUAGAAGGUUGGUUUUUUUCAUGUGCUAUGGCUAGGCCAAGUGUUGGUUUGUACAGGAACAUUUAUUUCAUGCUACUUAAGGAGGAGGCGAGCUGGGUGGAGUGAUGGCUCUAACUGUAGAAGAGACCUUUUUUUUCUCCUUUAAUGGUCAUACUUGUUUUAUGUUAGAUCUCUGGGAGCUGUCGCAAAA
Molecule: non-coding RNA, 3402 nt
Organism: Taeniopygia guttata (zebra finch)
Lineage: Eukaryota; Metazoa; Chordata; Aves; Passeriformes; Estrildidae
Source: RefSeq, a predicted model, not a curated record